RNAcentral lists this transfer RNA (66 nucleotides) under Ixodes scapularis (black-legged tick). It matches the Rfam family "tRNA". Rfam says of the family: Transfer RNA (tRNA) molecules are approximately 80 nucleotides in length. Their secondary structure includes four short double-helical elements and three loops (D, anti-codon, and T loops). The record is from Rfam by way of RNAcentral. Lineage: Eukaryota; Metazoa; Arthropoda; Arachnida; Ixodida; Ixodidae.
UGGUUAGCUGAGUGGUUAGAGCUCUCCCCUGGAAAUGGAGAGGUUCCAGGUUCAAUACCAGGACCA